GGCACACAGGUGUGGUGCUGGACGCGUGGAGAUAAAUCAGAAUUGUGGUCCUUACACCGAUAUUCACUCUGGAGGCCUCCAUGUCCUGAAUGUGCCUUGCUUUUGCUGCUGGGGCCUGCCUUUGAAGAUUUUCCUUUUUUUUUUUGCUUUUUCUUCUUCUUUUUUUUUUUUUUUUCUUUUUCCAUCUGCACACAUGGCAUAUGGAAGUUCCCAGGCUAGGGGUCGAAUCGGAGCUGUAGCUGCAGGCCUAUACCACAGCCACAGCAAUGUGGGAUCUGAGCUGUGUCUGUGAACUACACCACAGCUUACAGCAACACCGGCUCCCCGGCCCACUGAGCAAGGUUAGGGAUUGAACCCACUUCCUCAUGGAUACUAACUGGAUUUGUUCCCACUGUGCCACAGUGGGAACUCCUGAAGCUUUUUCUAAUGGUCACUGUCGUGAGUCUUACUGCUGCCAUGUAUAUUGGUCCCUCUUGGUGCCCUGGAGCUGUCCUCCAGGUACAGAGCACAGCUGAGCUCUCCAGAGAGUCUAGGAAACCAAAGCCAAGCUGAGAUCCCUAUAAAGGUGGAAGUCUCUGCCCCUUUUGGCCUAACUUUGGGGUGCAGACAGCCCUGCUUUCGGCCCUGUGUAGCAAUGUCUGCCAGAACUCCUAUGGUAAAGAAAACAGCUGUGGUAAAGAGACUUGAAAGAUGGCUGCCCUCAACUCCCCUCCCUGAAAGCACCUGCUGCCUGUCACAUCAAGCUUGGAGUCCAGUCCCCUACCCUUUGAAUCUGGGCUGGCCCUAGUGACUUCCUAGCAGCAGAAUGUAUCCAAGAGCAUGUCCCGGGACUUCUGAGACUAGGUCAUAAUAAGGCUUGCCACUGCUACCUGGGUCUCUUGCAAAGCUCAUUCUCAGCUACUUCUUCUCAGAACCCAACUACCUGUGAUGAGAAGCCUUACAGAGAGAGGGUCCACAUGUAGGUGCUCCAGUUGACAGUCCCAUCUGAGGGCACAGUCAGCACCAACUGCCAGGCAUGGGAAUGUGCCAUCUUGGGUUUCCAGAGUCCAGCCUCCGGUGACUCCAGCCCAAACCACCAUUGGACUGCAGCCACUUAAGAGACCCUGAGAGAGAAUGGCCCAGUUAGCCAUGGAUGAAAAUGGUACAUUCUGUUCUAAACCACUAAAUUUUGGGGUAGUUCACUCUCUUUAGACAGCAAAACCUUCUCUCUCUUGGCUUAGAUAUAUUCUGAGUCCCCCAGGAACUGAGUGAUAGACGUCCUGCCUUCCUUAGAGCAGCCCCGCCCUGCCUAUACAUGAGCCUCGUGUCUCUGUUAAGCUUGUCUGCUUGGCCCCUCCCUCCUGGUGCUGACUUCCCUCCCAGGACAAUUCCACUGGACUCGUCCCAUCAUUCCACCCAUCAUGCCUCAGUCCCAAGGGGAAAUAUUGCUUAAGCUCCAGCUGGGAACUCUGUAUGUGUAAACAAAGAGUUUACUGUAUAUGCAAUUGUACUUAUUAAAUUCUUGUUUCAUUUAGUGUUGUGUUGCAGCAAUGAUGUCAUUAAAAAUUCCACAGAAUUAAUAUUCCAUCAUUUGAAUUUAUAUCAUUGUCAUUUACCUGUUUUUGGAAAAUUGCUCCUCUCUCUCUUUUUUUUUCCUUAAAUUCUAAAAUAAAGGCUGAGGUGAAUAUCUUUGUCC
This 1675-nucleotide long non-coding RNA is filed under the name Sus scrofa (pig). RNAcentral's name for it is "lncRNA (ENSSSCG00025000377.1)". Lineage: Eukaryota; Metazoa; Chordata; Mammalia; Artiodactyla; Suidae. The record is from RNAcentral.